RNAcentral lists this ribosomal RNA (426 nucleotides) under Eukaryota sp. RNAcentral describes it as "SSU rRNA". It matches the Rfam family "Eukaryotic small subunit ribosomal RNA", at positions 1324 to 1699 of the family's 1831-position model. The record is from RNAcentral.
UUCGUUAACGAACGAGACCUUAACUUACUAAAUACGUUUAAACCAAAAAUUUUUGAUUGUGGUUAUAAACUUCUUAGAGGGACUAUCAACGUAUAUAUUUUGUAGUUGAUGGAAGUUUGAGGCAAAAACAGGUCUGUGAUGCCCUUAGAUGUCUGGAGCCGCACACGUGCUACACUGAUAAAGUCAUCGAGUUAUCAAAAUUUUAUUUUGCUAGUGUUCUUUUUAGGAUAUCUAGUUUCAAAAAUAAAAUUCACCUUGGCUGAAGAGCUUGGGUAAUCUUUUGAAACUUUAUCGUGAUGGGGAUUGAUCAUUGCAAUUAUUGGUCAUCAACGAGGAAUUCCUAGUAAGCAUAAGUCAUCAACUUGUGCUGACUUCGUCCCUGCCCUUUGUACACACCGCCCGUCGCUAAUACCGAUUGAAUGGCUA